This 116-nucleotide ribosomal RNA is filed under the name Pteropus alecto (black flying fox). The record is from RNAcentral. Lineage: Eukaryota; Metazoa; Chordata; Mammalia; Chiroptera; Pteropodidae.
GUCUACAGCCAUACAACCCUGAACAAGCCUGAUGUCUGAUCUCGGAAGCUAAGCAGGGUCGGACCUGGUUAGUACUUGGAUGGGAGACCACCUAGGAAGACCAAGUGCUGUAGGCA